RNAcentral lists this small nuclear RNA (103 nucleotides) under Nannospalax galili (Upper Galilee mountains blind mole rat). Lineage: Eukaryota; Metazoa; Chordata; Mammalia; Rodentia; Spalacidae. The record is from RNAcentral.
UAGCUGGAUUCGGCAGCAUUUAUAGUAAAACUGGGAAAAUACAGAGAUUAGCAGGGCCCCACCCAAGAAUAGCAUGCAAAUUCCUAACGCACUCCAUGUUUAA